Long non-coding RNA from Oreochromis aureus, 1624 nucleotides. RefSeq lists it as uncharacterized. The record is from RefSeq and is a predicted model, not a curated record. NCBI's taxonomy places the organism in Eukaryota, Metazoa, Chordata, Actinopteri, Cichliformes, Cichlidae. The transcript has 3 exons.
GUGACCAAAAGUGGAGCCACCUUCCCCUCAAAGGGUAGAUAUGCGUCUGAAGACCAGAUACUGCGCUUCAAUCCAGUUUACUGUAACGGACGUCAGCUGAAUCACAGAAGAGGAAGUCUAUACAGAGAAACUCAGUGAGGACAUUGGUGUCUGGAUGUGAAGAAAGCCGCUGGUGUUUCCUGGUCAUUGUAUCUGUUUGCAUGUCUGUGGAGGUGAGGCAACCAUUCGAAAGGUCAGAGUUCAACAGGCACGGUCGAGCCUUAAUGACCCUUCAGUUCAAGUCACAUCUUCCAAACAGCAGGAUUCAAACCAAAGAAGUUGUUAAACACUGGUCACAGCCGGGAGGAGGUGGAGGAGACCAAAGGUGGCAUUUUUCACACAAAAACUUCAUCUCUGCACCAUCUCUGCUCUUCCUGAUAUAUUCUGCAUUGUGUUAAAGCUAGCAGGCUCAAUUUAGUUUCGGCAGAACUGAUUUGGCUUUGCUUAGCAUUUGUGCGUCUUUGCAUUAUUUGCCUGUUUGCUUCAGCAUGUCAUCCUGGGCAAAGAGCUUUCCUUCCAAUGUAAAAUCUCUCACUCUCACCCCGAAAAAUCUCGAAAUGCGCGGGCAAGAACGUCACAGGGUUAAUGAUGUAUAUGCACGCUGCAGAUUUCACUCCAUCUGUACUUCUUCAGGGGCUUUAGAGGGGAAGGGAGACAAAGUGUGUCUAUAUGCAAAUGAAAAUACAUGCAAUCAGCAGUGAGAAAAUGAGCAGGAAAGAGUGUGGUGUGUUUCAACAAAGUGCAGUCUUCUUAUCUGUGGUGUGCCUGCGAACACAUUUGUUGAUGUGUGACUUUCUGCAAGUCAUUUCUAGUCCACUGCAACCACAAAAGUCUUCUCUUAAAUCUAUGUCCUGGCUUUUAGGGAUGAACGCAUGAUUUACAUGUAAUGAAUGGUUUCCUGUUGAUAUUACAGAAGUGCAGAAGCCCUCAAAAAAUAAAAAGUGAAAUCCUAAACAUUCCACACUUGGAAAACAAGUUCAUGGAGCAUCUUCUAAGAGAGGAUAAACGCACUGCAAGCGUUACCCUUUGUUCCGCCCACCACACCCUCAGCUCAAGUGUGAACAGUAACUGCUGACCACUACUACUGCUGAGGCAUGACUGGACAAGUGCUUCUCUUAAUUGCGAAAUCAGUUCUGCAGAAACAGAGCUUGAACGGCCAUGAGCAAGCUCUCCACAAGAGUGACUGUGACUUUUCUUAUCUAACACUGAGACAUCUGCACCGAGAGUGACAGUGAGGGAUAUUAUCUAUUUCACUCGAGCAGAAAAGCAGAAGAUCACUGCUUCCCCUUUUCAAAGUAGCUGUUCAUAGAGCUAAAGAGUUAACAGGAUUUUUUUCUCCCCCCUCGACACAAAAGCAGUCUCUUCACUAUAUGUUUGGUACCACAGAAGACACUGCAGUCUAAUACUGCGCUGAUAAAAGAAAAGCCACGUAUAACUAACAACUACCCACAUAAAAUGAAGAUUUUACCCACAUUGAAUCAGCGCUGGCAUGUAAAGUGGAUUAUUUUCUCUACACUUGCACUUCACUUCUUUGCUUGUUCUUUUUUUUCCCUGCCCAAAUGUGUUUCUUGCAUGUCUAAGCUGA